GCACCUGUAGUCUAAUGGAUAGAACAUCGCCCUCCGGAGGCGACAAUACCGGUUCGAAUCCGGUCAGGUGCA
This 72-nucleotide transfer RNA is filed under the name Eubacterium sp. RNAcentral describes it as "tRNA-Arg". It matches the Rfam family "tRNA". From Rfam's summary of the family: Transfer RNA (tRNA) molecules are approximately 80 nucleotides in length. Their secondary structure includes four short double-helical elements and three loops (D, anti-codon, and T loops). Further hydrogen bonds mediate the characteristic L-shaped molecular structure. tRNAs have two regions of fundamental functional importance: the anti-codon, which is responsible for specific mRNA codon recognition, and the 3' end, to which the tRNAs corresponding amino acid is attached (by aminoacyl-tRNA synthetases). tRNAs cope with the degeneracy of the genetic code in two manners: having more than one tRNA (with a specific anti-codon) for a particular amino acid; and 'wobble' base-pairing, i.e. permitting non-standard base-pairing at the 3rd anti-codon position. Lineage: Bacteria; Bacillati; Bacillota; Clostridia; Eubacteriales; Eubacteriaceae. The record is from RNAcentral.